Kogia breviceps (pygmy sperm whale) is the source of this 886-nucleotide non-coding RNA. The record is from RefSeq and is a predicted model, not a curated record. Lineage: Eukaryota; Metazoa; Chordata; Mammalia; Artiodactyla; Physeteridae.
CCCGCGCCCGCGCCCCCGCCCCCGCCCCCGGCGCAGAAAAAGGAGUGCCUCCGACCCCGCGGCCCCGGCGCCCCCGCAGCCGGCGCGGCGAGACCCCUGCCCGCGGCUCCCCGACCGAAGCCUCCUGGUUAUUUUACAAAAGACUAGAGAAACAAUUUACACACCUGGUGUGAAAAGGAGGGAAGAAAAAGCCUUCCUUUACUUUUUCAUAAGGAAAGAAACGAAGUGCCAAGCAGUAAGCAUUUUCUGUUUGUGAAGUAUAUAUACAAUUUUGUGUUACAAAAUUUUUCCUAUUUCAAUAUUUUUUGCCAAAGUCAAGUUUGUGAAGUUUCCAAUCUAAUAGUGACUGAAGAGGACUGCCAUUGACUCAAAGCACUCUGGUCAGUACUGCAUAACUUCACCUCUUUGAAAUAUUUAGGAUGGAAAUUCACUUCAUUUUCAGAGCCAGAUCCCAUCAUGCCCAUAAAAAUGUUUGAAAAAGAAAUCCUUGAUGAACACACAAUGGCAAAUUUCCGUGGCACAACGUAUCCUCAUUGCAGCAUUCUGUGCAUGAGCUGAAGAAUCAUCAUUUAAACACUGGCUUGCAGCUUGACCCUCAUUGUGAACUUCUAGUCCAACACAUGGAGAUGCCCUGUUCACUAGGGGCUGACGGUAGAGAUGAGAGCUAAUCUGAAGCAGCUGAGACCCCCUCUGAUGGCUACACCUGGAAAGCAGAGGUUUCUGUGAUGGUCUGGCCAAUCUCCAGAUAUUAUCAAUUAUUAAAACCUGACUUUAUUUAGCAGCAAUAUCAAUUUAUUGAAUGGACUACAAGAGAUAUGAAUCAAUGGCUAUGCAUACCAUUCAGAUUUUAACUACAAGGAAUUCACAUUCCUGAAAUAAAAACAAA